CCUACGGGAGGCAGCAGUGAGGAAUAUUGGACAAUGGACGAGAGUCUGAACCAGCCAAGUAGCGUGAAGGAUGACUGCCCUAUGGGUUGUAAACUUCUUUUAUAUGGGAAUAAAAUGUUCCACGUGUGGGAUUUUGUAUGUACCAUAUGAAUAAGGAUCGGCUAACUCCGUGCCAGCAGCCGCGGUAAUACGGAGGAUCCGGGCGUUAUCCGGAUUUAUUGGGUUUAAAGGGAGCGUAGGUGGAUUGUUAAGUCAGUUGUGAAAGUUUGCGGCUCAACCGUAAAAUUGCAGUUGAAACUGGCAGUCUUGAGUACAGUAGAGGUGAGCGGAAUUCGUGGUGUAGCGGUGAAAUGCUUAGAUAUCACGAAGAACUCCGAUUGCGAAGGCAGUUCACUGGACUGCAACUGACACUGAGGCUCGAAAGUGUGGGUAUCAAACAGGAUUAGAUACCCCAGUAGUC
Molecule: ribosomal RNA, 460 nt
Filed under: uncultured bacterium
Lineage: Bacteria
Description: partial 16S ribosomal RNA
Rfam family: Bacterial small subunit ribosomal RNA
Source: RNAcentral